This 73-nucleotide transfer RNA is filed under the name Polyangium fumosum. RNAcentral's name for it is "tRNA-Ala". It matches the Rfam family "tRNA". Rfam says of the family: Transfer RNA (tRNA) molecules are approximately 80 nucleotides in length. RNAcentral also lists the same sequence under 6 other names. The record is from RNAcentral. Lineage: Bacteria; Pseudomonadati; Myxococcota; Polyangiales; Polyangiaceae.
GGGGUCGUAGCUCAGUGGGUAGAGCACCUGGCUGGCAGUCAGGGGGUCGCCGGUUCGAAUCCGGCCUUCUCCA